AUUGAACGCUGGCGGCAGGCUUAACACAUGCAAGUCGAGCGGAGCGAGGGUGCUUGCACCUUAGCUUAGCGGCGGACGGGUGAGUAAUGCUUAGGAAUCUGCCUAUUAGUGGGGGACAACAUUCCGAAAGGAAUGCUAAUACCGCAUACGCCCUACGGGGGAAAGCAGGGGAUCUUCGGACCUUGCGCUAAUAGAUGAGCCUAAGUCGGAUUAGCUAGUUGGUGGGGUAACGGCCUACCAAGGCGACGAUCUGUAGCGGGUCUGAGAGGAUGAUCCGCCACACUGGGAGUGAGACAGGGCCCAGACUGCUACGGGAGGCAGCAGUGGGGAAUAUUGGACAAUGGGCGGAAGCCUGAUCCAGCCAUGCCGCGUGUGUGAAGAAGGCCUGUUGGUUGUAAAGCACUUUAAGCGAGGAGGAGGCUACUUAGAUUAAUACUCUGGGAUAGUGGACGUUACUCGCAGAAUAAGCACCGGCUAACUCUGUGCCAGCAGCCGCGGUAA
RNAcentral lists this ribosomal RNA (501 nucleotides) under uncultured bacterium. RNAcentral describes it as "partial 16S ribosomal RNA". It matches the Rfam family "Bacterial small subunit ribosomal RNA", at positions 30 to 523 of the family's 1533-position model. The record is from RNAcentral.